ACGGGGGGGCAAGCGUUGUUCGGAAUUACUGGGCGUAAAGGGCUCGUAGGCGGCCAACUAAGUCAGACGUGAAAUCCCUCGGCUUAACCGGGGAACUGCGUCUGAUACUGGAUGGCUUGAGUGUAGGAGAGGGAUGCGGAAUUCCAGGUGUAGCGGUGAAAUGCGUAGAUAUCUGGAGGAACACCGGUGGCGAAGGCGGCAUCCUGGACUACUACUGACGCUGAGUGAGCGAAAGCCAGGGGAGCAAACGGGA
This 253-nucleotide ribosomal RNA is filed under the name uncultured prokaryote. RNAcentral's name for it is "partial 16S ribosomal RNA". It matches the Rfam family "Bacterial small subunit ribosomal RNA", at positions 525 to 777 of the family's 1533-position model. The record is from RNAcentral.